Molecule: long non-coding RNA, 768 nt
Organism: Pelodiscus sinensis (Chinese soft-shelled turtle)
Lineage: Eukaryota; Metazoa; Chordata; Testudines; Trionychidae
Source: RefSeq, a predicted model, not a curated record
CCCCUUCAUGGGAUGUAUCAUGAAAGCCAAGAGGGGCCCACAGGAGACCAGCUGGUUCCCAGCACUACAGGCCAUUGCACCAGGUCAGAGUGCCCCCAGCCCUGCGCUGCAACAGCUGCCCACAUGUGGGAUUGCCCUGAAAUUGCCCUGGCUAAUUGUGCUUAGAAAAGAGGUCACAUAAUGCAUCAGAAGGAAGCAAGGCUGGAAUGAAGACUGGAUCUGAUAACAUGCUGGGGCUGACGGGCGAGCCACACCACUCAAGCCAGCCGCCCGACCCCAGGGGACUGAAGUGCUCUAUGGACCAGGAGGAGCUUAUGAGGCAGCAUGUGGCCAUCCUGCAUGACAUGCAGCAGACCCUGGCGCAGAAGAUCUGGGAGGACGCAGAGUAGCGGACCCACAUGUGGGGCCAGCUCGUGUGGCAGGGUGACAACGUGUGCCAUCAUGCAGGAAAUGGCAGCACACCCAGCUGCUGUCACUGCUCCUGCCUACUACCCUUCUGCCCCCCGUUAUGCUCAUUCCCCCUGUCCCUGUCCCACAAGUGAUACUCAUGCCCUCUCCCCAAGUGAUGCCCAUGUCCCCUUCCCCUGCCAUCCCUGAUCCCCCUGCCAUCCCUGAUCCCAGUGUCCCGCCUCCUGAUUAUCCCCCUCUGGUCCCAGGACCCACCCAACCCCAAGUUCACCGAGGUCCCCACACCCAAGGUGAGGCAGCCAGCAGCCCCCCAUCCCCCCCCCGACCUGAGCCCCCCUCCCAGUUAGGAGCCCCCUCCCC